Molecule: long non-coding RNA, 1440 nt
Filed under: Heterocephalus glaber (naked mole-rat)
Lineage: Eukaryota; Metazoa; Chordata; Mammalia; Rodentia; Bathyergidae
Description: lncRNA (ENSHGLG00000045876.1)
Source: RNAcentral
GGAGCUUUUGACUAUCUUCAGCAGUUUUGUAUUAUACUAAAUGGGAUGUGAUGUUUUCCUUAAGAACCUCCAUGAAAUGGGGAAAAUGGUAUUUCCCACAUUGCUGCCACCCUCGGCCUAAAGAUAGGAUUCGUCAACUCUCCCAGUGGUCUCCCCAAAGCCGGCAUCUCCCUUGGUGACAAGGACAGACUACAGAGGAGUUUGCAACCAUCAACCUUGUAGUCCAGUUCUCAGGUGCUGGUCAUCAGGUGUGGCCACAGGAGACAAGACCCAAGUAGGGGCACAGGAGGAAAAAUUACAUUCUACUCACAGGCCCUAGAGUGACAGAGAAGUUGUCACAUGGAAAGGAGUGCAAAGGAAGGUUGGGAGCAGACAGUGAAGACCGCAGGUCACCUCAAGAGUGUCACCUCAUGGUGGCAAGAUGGCUGCUGCACUUCCAGACUUCCCAUCUGAGAAAGAAUUAGGCUCCUUGCCUUAUAGCUUUCAUUUGGUCUCUGGGUAUUUUCUUUACUCUUCUUAAUUCUACUCAUUGUCCACGAGACUGACAUAUAUGGAUAGAGCUUGUGUCUAGGUUUUGUUUGGGAUGGGCCUACAGGAAAUGUAACAACAAUUGUGGUUAUCAAUUUAAUUGAAUAAGAAACACCUAGCAGAUUAGUAAAGCGCACCUCUAGAUGUACCUAUGAGAUGUUUCCAGAAAUACCUAUUCAUCCAAUAGUCUUGGAGCCCAGAUGGAAUGGAAAGAAAAGGAGGAAGUUGUCCUGUGUUGGAAAAGCUCUAUUCUUCAUGAGUGGGUCUGUCUUUCUUCUUGGGUGGAUGUGUCUUUUCUAACACAGAUUUCUAACACAGAUAAGUAGCAGUGACUGUCCAGGGAGUUUCCAGGCCUUCGGUCUCAGACUGGUACUGUACCCUUGAUCAGUUGUGUUCUUCAGCUUCCAGCUUCUUGGAAUGAGUGGCCUCUGGGUCCUCUGGCUCUCCAGUGUGUGGGUGGUCAAUGUGGACUCUCCCAUCUCUGAUCCUGUGAGCCUCUCUAAUAAAUAAAUGCCUUGCAUCUAUUCUCUUCCUCUAAAGAACUCUAAUCAAGGAGUCUCAGCAGAACGUGGAAGGGAGGAGAAUGAGGUGAGGGUAUAGAAUCCCUGUUCCUCCCUCUGGGGCUGCCUGGGCUGGAAGCCACAGCUCUGCUCCAGGCAGUCCUUCCCACACAAAGAUAUAACUCUCUCCUUGGAAAUGCUUCUUCCCGUGAUCCCUGUGGGUCUAGGGAUGGAAGCAGCUCUGCUGUUACAAACCACGGGUACUGCACUACCAUGUAGUCCCAGAUUGCUGCCCGCUUCUUUGUAAAUAAUGCCUUUACCUUUCCGAGUUAGUCUAAUUUGUGCCCUGUUUGCCCAUUGGACCUGAAUGCUAUAGGCCUCACCAGCUUCUAGAGACUUCCCUUUCGUGGCC